RNAcentral lists this ribosomal RNA (252 nucleotides) under uncultured bacterium. RNAcentral describes it as "partial 16S ribosomal RNA". It matches the Rfam family "Bacterial small subunit ribosomal RNA", at positions 524 to 776 of the family's 1533-position model. The record is from RNAcentral.
UACGUAGGUCCCGAGCGCUGUCCGGAUUUAUUGGGCGUAAAGCGAGCGCAGGUGGUUUAUUAAGUCUGGUGUAAAAGGCAGUGGCUCAACCAUUGUAUGCAUUGGAAACUGGUAGACUUGAGUGCAGGAGAGGAGAGUGGAAUUUCAUGUGUAGCGGUGAAAUGCGUAGAUAUAUGGAGGAACGCCGGUGGCGAAAGCGGCUCUCUGGCCUGUAACUGACACUGAGGCUCGAAAGCGUGGGGAGCAAACAGG